GGCCCUGUGGCGCAACGGUAACGUAUCUGACUCCAGAUCAGAAGGUUGUCCGUUCAAAUCGGGUCGGGGUCA
Perkinsus marinus ATCC 50983 is the source of this 72-nucleotide non-coding RNA. Lineage: Eukaryota; Perkinsozoa; Perkinsida; Perkinsidae. The record is from Rfam.